Long non-coding RNA from Protobothrops mucrosquamatus (brown spotted pit viper), 489 nucleotides. RefSeq lists it as uncharacterized. Lineage: Eukaryota; Metazoa; Chordata; Lepidosauria; Squamata; Viperidae. The transcript has 3 exons. The record is from RefSeq and is a predicted model, not a curated record.
UGGCCCCCUUGCUGCAGGGCAAGUCCCAGGAGGAUAUGGUAGUCUGCUAGGCCCUGGACAGCCACUAGGAGGAUAUCGAGGGAAGGAAUCAAAGUAUGGAAUGAAUGGAUACCUGGGAAAUGGCUAUAGAGGCCGCUGCUCUUCUGGAAAAUGCUGAAAGACAAUAUUGCUCUGCAGAACUUCCAAUAGCAAGAUCUAACAUUCUAGGCAAUCUUUGGUGCUAAGUUUAAAGACCAACAACUGCAUUCCCAAUAUAAAUGACUGUGUCUUUUUCUUUCUCUAUGUUUUAUUUUGUCAUUAGAAACUUUUCAUUUUUUAAAGAGUGAAAAACAUUGCAUGUUAGUUUUUAAAGCUUUGGUCAACCAUAUUUUCCAAGGACUAAUAGUAUUUCUGUGACCGUACUACACAAAGAGUUUGAGAAGCUAGAAAUUGCUUUCUCCGCCAAGACAUACCCUGUGUAUUCCACAGAUUAGGAGGCAGUCUAGAAAU